GUGCAGCAGUCGCGAAUUUUCUCAAUGGGCGAAAGCCUGAAGGAGCGACGCCGCGUGGAGGAUGAAGGCCUUCGGGUUGUAAACUCCUGUCAUUUGAGAACAAGUGUCGGCAAGUAACUACUGCCGACUUGAUAGUAUCAGAAGAGGAAGGGACGGCUAACUCUGUGCCAGCAGCCGCGGUAAUACAGAGGUCCCAAGCGUUGUUCGGAUUCAUUGGGCGUAAAGGGUGCGUAGGUGGCGCCAUAAGUCAGGUGUGAAAUUUCGGAGCUUAACUCCGAAACUGCAUUUGAUACCGUGGUGCUUGAGGACUGGAGAGGAGACUGGAAUUUACGGUGUAGCAGUGAAAUGCGUAGAGAUCGUAAGGAAGACCAGUGGCGAAGGCGGGUCUCUGGACAGUUCCUGACACUGAGGCACGAAGGCCAGGGGAGCAAACGGGAUUAGAUA
This 444-nucleotide ribosomal RNA is filed under the name uncultured organism. RNAcentral describes it as "bacterial SSU rRNA". It matches the Rfam family "Bacterial small subunit ribosomal RNA", at positions 346 to 784 of the family's 1533-position model. The record is from RNAcentral.